UAAAAUAAAUUUGAUUUGUAUUGUUUUAAUCUAAAUUAUAUUCAAUAAUCCUUGAAAAUUAAAGUGAUUGAUGUUAACAUAUGAAGUUUAAAAUGGUCGUACUCAUCACCGCAUCAGGUCUCUAAGGUGAAAAGCCUCUAGUUGAUUAGAAAUAAUGCAGGUAAGGAAAGUCGGCAAAUUAGAUCCGUAACUUCGGGAAAUGGAUUGGCUCAUAAAAUUAUAAAAUAAUAAAAUAAUUUUUUUAUUUUGUUAUUUAAAUUAAUUAUGAACUGAUACGAUCAUGGGGAAUCCGACUGUUUAAUUAAAACAAAGCAUUGCGAAACUUUUAACUAGAUUUUUACGUAAUGUGAUUUCUGCUCAGUGCUCUGAAUGUCAAAGUGAAGUAAUUCAACCAAGCGCGGGUAAACAGCGGGAGUAACUAUGACUCUCUUAAGGUAGCCAAAUGCCUCGUCAUCUAAUUAGUGACGCGCAUGAAUGGAUUAACGAGAUUCCCACUGUCCCUACUUGCUAUCUAGCGAACCAACAGCCAAGGGAACGGGCUUGGCAAUGUC
Molecule: ribosomal RNA, 551 nt
Filed under: uncultured eukaryote
Lineage: Eukaryota
Description: eukaryotic LSU rRNA
Rfam family: Eukaryotic large subunit ribosomal RNA
Source: RNAcentral